AAAAAGGUUUUACUCAAAACCAAAGUUUGAUUUAAGUAAUUAAAG
This is a non-coding RNA of Pygoscelis adeliae (Adelie penguin), 45 nucleotides long. The record is from Rfam. NCBI's taxonomy places the organism in Eukaryota, Metazoa, Chordata, Aves, Sphenisciformes, Spheniscidae.